AUGCUCCCUUGUGAUUUCUUUGCUUCUAACUUGCAUUGCAUGAUGCCAUCACUUAAGGUAGAUUUGAAAAACUAUUUGCUUGGACAUGAUCAUACACACCCUGUUAGUGGCAUUACUCUCAUUUGUGAUGAUAACAUUUACUUUCCUCGUGCUAGUUCUAUGCUUAAUGAAACAUAUCAUUCCCAUGCUAGUCUUGAGCUUAAUGAUAAAUAUCAUCCUCAUGUUAGCAUUGAGCUUACUGAUUUGUACCAUCCUAAACAUGUGCUUUAUAGCUAUGCUUAUGUAAUUGGGUACUCUAUAGAUGAUUUAGAGGGCAUUACCCUUGCCACUUGUAUUGUUUCCUUGGUUGAGUGCUCUUUCAGGUUGGUGCUUGUGCACGAUCCACUACAUGCUGACCAAGUUCGAGAUGACAUUCCCUGGGACCCCGGUGGACCCAUGGCAUGGGGAUGA
RNAcentral lists this ribosomal RNA (450 nucleotides) under Triticum aestivum (bread wheat). Its description in RNAcentral is "partial small subunit ribosomal RNA". Lineage: Eukaryota; Viridiplantae; Streptophyta; Magnoliopsida; Poales; Poaceae. The record is from RNAcentral.